GCCUGUAGUCUAGUGGUUAAGGUAAAUGACUGGGACUCCAGAGGUUGGUGGUUCAAGCCCCACCCCAGCCA
Molecule: transfer RNA, 71 nt
Filed under: Albula glossodonta (roundjaw bonefish)
Lineage: Eukaryota; Metazoa; Chordata; Actinopteri; Albuliformes; Albulidae
Description: tRNA-OTHER
Source: RNAcentral